CCCCUAAAAAUGCUUGAAGAGCAUCCUUAUCCAGUACGUUGACUGUUGUAAUUAAGGAUAUUUUUGAUUCAUGAUUAAAAUCAAAAUUAGAAUGAAAAUAAGAAUAAUUACAUUCUCUGAUAUAUUUCGUUUAUAGUUAAAAUUGAAAUCGAAAGCAAGUUAUACUUUAAAUCUUAAAAAAAAAUUAAAAAUUAAAUUUUAAAUAUUUAAAAUAUUUUAUUUUUUUAUAAUUAAAAUAGUAAUAGAACUAUCUCCAAUCAAAUGUCUAAAAUAUGAGCCAUUCAUUUUCAUUCUCCGAUCUCCCCUAUCGAAGCAUGUCCUAAAAACGGUUAGAAAUUGGAAUCGAGGUUGAUGUUUUCAUUGAGAUACGAUUUUCUAGCGGAGUGGACCACAACUCACUCAAGAUGCAUGCUGGUAGCCAUGGAAAUACCGACCAACAACUCCAUAAGCAAUCUGCACAGCAUCUACAAAACCAGGAUUAGUAAAAGCUUAUUAUUUUCGCCGGUCAAUUAAAGCCAAACCUAAUUUAUUUGGUAAAGAGCACUGCACCCACCAUCGCCGCUACGUCCCUUCUCACUUCUCCAGUCCUCGGUGUUGUGGCUUUUGAUUGGUGCGGUACAUGAAGGAUGGUUGAGUGCUGGAUUGGCUUUAAGCACUGCUGGAAUGUCACGUCAGGCAUGCAUCCACUGCCAUAUCAGACAUCUAAUAUUAUUGGCCGAGUGGGUCCACACUGCUUGCUCUUGAACUGCGAACAUGAGUAAUCUGAAUCAUCCUAGGUCCUUGAUCUCACCUCCAUGAACAGUCCACUUGACUGGAGCUUGGAACUAUUCGUGUGCA
This 837-nucleotide long non-coding RNA is filed under the name Elaeis guineensis (African oil palm). RNAcentral's name for it is "long non-coding RNA (EGUI_LNC004204)". Lineage: Eukaryota; Viridiplantae; Streptophyta; Magnoliopsida; Arecales; Arecaceae. The record is from RNAcentral.